This 253-nucleotide ribosomal RNA is filed under the name uncultured bacterium. Its description in RNAcentral is "partial 16S ribosomal RNA". It matches the Rfam family "Bacterial small subunit ribosomal RNA", at positions 524 to 776 of the family's 1533-position model. The record is from RNAcentral.
GACGAACCGUCCAAACGUUAUUCGGAAUCACUGGGCUUAAAGGGUGCGUAGGCGGCGCGGAAAGUUGGGUGUGAAAUCCCUCGGCUUAACCGGGGAACUGCGUCUGAUACUGGAUGGCUUGAGUUUGGGAGAGGGAUGCGGAAUUCCAGGUGUAGCGGUGAAAUGCGUAGAUAUCUGGAGGAACACCGGUGGCGAAGGCGGCAUCCUGGACCAAUACUGACACUGAAAAGCGAAAGCCAGGGGAGCAAACGGG